GACGGGGGGUGCAAGCGUUAUCCGGAAUCACUGGGCGUAAAGCGUCUGUAGGUGGUGAUGCAAGUCACUGGUGCAAAACUCUGGCUCAACCGGAGGAAAGCCAGUGAAACUGCAUGACUAGAGUGUGGGAGAGGUAGAAGGAAUUCCCUGAGUAGCGGUGAAAUGCGUAGAUACAGGGAAGAACACCGGAGGCGAAAGCGUUCUACUGGACCACAACUGACACUGAGAGAAGAAAGCUAGGGGAGCGAAUGGG
Molecule: ribosomal RNA, 253 nt
Filed under: uncultured bacterium
Lineage: Bacteria
Description: partial 16S ribosomal RNA
Rfam family: Bacterial small subunit ribosomal RNA
Source: RNAcentral